GCGGAAAAAGUGUUUCGGGAGUGCUCUUAGGGUUUUCGUAAUAUUUGUGAAUUUAUAGGCCAGAUAGGGACGUCGGGAGGCAUAUAGGGGGGAACAAGCCAUCAUCGAGCGGCCAAGCCCUGGGCUGCACCCUGUUGGCUUGUGCCUCCCUCGUGCGGCCUCUCGUCCACUUCUGAUGCUUGGAGGUCUUCAUAUAGUCCAAAAAAAUCAUAUUAAAGUUUCGUGGCAUUUGGACUUCUUUUGGUAAGGUAAACGUACAAAGC
RNAcentral lists this long non-coding RNA (263 nucleotides) under Hordeum vulgare. RNAcentral describes it as "long non-coding RNA (HVUL_LNC015939)". The record is from RNAcentral. Lineage: Eukaryota; Viridiplantae; Streptophyta; Magnoliopsida; Poales; Poaceae.